RNAcentral lists this non-coding RNA (29 nucleotides) under Homo sapiens (human). Lineage: Eukaryota; Metazoa; Chordata; Mammalia; Primates; Hominidae. The record is from RNAcentral.
UAGGGAUGUUGAUGACAUUCGGUCUCUGU